GCUGGGCGAGAGGGUGUCUCCUGGGUCCACCGUGGAAGCCCGAGGCGCGGGUGCGGAGCCAGCCCAGGGCUGCCGGCGUGAGCUGCAGGGCUGGCCUGGUGCUCAUCCUCUGCCCGGGGCGCGGGAAAGGCGAGGGACGCUGUGCUGGAUCUGUGUGCUCAGUGGCCAUGCGUCGGCCUCAGGACUGGGAACGAGGCGAGAGACACAGAUGUGGGUGCAGGAUCUGCGCUUGCAGCCACCUUACUUCGUGGGCUGUACCUGAGGUGACAGGCAGGGUCUUCUCUGAUGAAGUUACCCACACGAGUCACCACGGGAUGACGGUGAGCAGGUGCCACGGAAGUGAGGUGUGGCCGUGUGAAUCACUCCGAUGGGACACGAGUGACAUGUGGACACCAGCUCCUAGAAGGGCACUGAAGAGCAGCGACACACUCCUUCCCAGCCCUUGCCUCCUUUCUCCGGGAAUACUGUGGUUAGACUCAGGACAGCCCCCUGGAGGCUGUGUGCUGAAGCUCUGUGCCUGAGCCGCAAAGAAAAAAUAGAACAUGGGCCCCUGAUGGAUGAUUCGACCUUUUAUUUCAACUUAAAAAAAUGUUUCCAAGUUUUCUCUGUUGUAUU
RNAcentral lists this long non-coding RNA (615 nucleotides) under Homo sapiens (human). Its description in RNAcentral is "long non-coding RNA NONHSAT213512.1". Lineage: Eukaryota; Metazoa; Chordata; Mammalia; Primates; Hominidae. The record is from RNAcentral.